This 582-nucleotide long non-coding RNA is filed under the name Salvia miltiorrhiza (redroot sage). RNAcentral describes it as "long non-coding RNA (SMIL_LNC006999)". Lineage: Eukaryota; Viridiplantae; Streptophyta; Magnoliopsida; Lamiales; Lamiaceae. The record is from RNAcentral.
CCCGCUUUAACGAUGAAUUACUUUAAUAUUGGAUAAUCAUAGGCAAUCACUUUUAAAACUCACGAGUAGACAACUUACAAUAACACAACGACAAGUUGUCUAAAUAAUAUAAUUCUCGAAGCUAUUGGUUUAAAAUCUCUACAACACAUCAAUAAAGUAAAAUAGACUAAGUGUUGCAGCGGAAAUAACUCAAGUGGAUUACAUGUAUGAGGACAUGAAAUCCUGAGCCUGGUUUAAUACAUAUACAUCAAAGAAUUUGCUCUGCUCGCUUCCAUCUGCACCACAGCUUAACCUGCAUAUUUAGAAACAUACGCAGGGCUGAGUACCAAAAAGCACUCAGUGGUCAUACCGAAAUAACUUUAAAGCUUGCUCUUAGAGCUAUAUAUUGAACUUGCCAUCUCAAUCAUCACACAGGAGUUUUAUUUAAAUAACCUGUGCAUGCAAGAAUGUAAAACUUCUCUAUAAUCGUCUUAACAUCAUAUACGUCUGCAGACAAUUAACAUGUAUGUACCAUAUCUACGCAUCAUAUAACUCUGAGUGUUGAGAAGUAGGCCUCCUUCUCAAACACGAUGACAAGCUAAC